Micropterus dolomieu (smallmouth bass) is the source of this 619-nucleotide long non-coding RNA. RefSeq lists it as uncharacterized. The record is from RefSeq and is a predicted model, not a curated record. The transcript is spliced from 3 exons. NCBI's taxonomy places the organism in Eukaryota, Metazoa, Chordata, Actinopteri, Centrarchiformes, Centrarchidae.
GGUCAGUACUCUCAGAUCUGACGAGCGAAGCGGUCAGACCGGAGGUAAUGUCUGCGUGGCUUUUCAAUGAUGGUGACAACUGAGGGACCCCAAGGGGCUGAAAAGUUACACCGUGGUGGCUUUAUUUCUGCUGGACAGGUCACCUGCAGAUUUGGAGUCUUUCAUAUCCCCGCUGUACUUCUCACCUGUAUACGCUGAUCGGACCAUGCUGGCUGGCCUGGAUUACAACCACCGUGUCCACAGUCCAGCCAGGAAAAAUGCUGAUGACACAAUUCAGUACAGCAAGGUGUACUACAAAAAAGUCCAGGAAGUGGAGCUUGUACUCAUUGAAGGUGGAGAAGGACUACAGUUCGCAGACCUCCACAGUCCCAUCGUCCUCCUCCGACGGUUGUCUACUACUGAGAAGCUGCCUAGAAGCAGAACCAGGAGAACCUGAUGAUUCCCGUCAACAUUUGGGUUCAGUCAGGUGUCCCUGCCCCAACUGUAUUCCUAGAUACAGGAAAACGUACAACAAAAAGUAAUAUGGUUGGUUUUGAAAUUUGGUACAUGUCAGAGAGGUGAUUCUGAUAUAUUAAAUCAUCUCCACAGCAAUGAUAUGAUGCUACAUGCAAAGUCUGAA